UACGUAGGGUGCAAGCGUUGUCCGGAAUUAUUGGGCGUAAAGAGCUCGUAGGCGGUCUGUCGCGUCGAAUGUGAAAAUCCGGGGCUCAACCCCGGACCUGCAUUCGAUACGGGCAGACUAGAGUUCGGUAGGGGAGUCUGGAAUUCCUGGUGUAGCGGUGAAAUGCGCAGAUAUCAGGAGGAACACCGGUGGCGAAGGCGGGUCUCUGGGCCGAUACUGACGCUGAGGAGCGAAAGCGUGGGGAGCGAACAGG
This 253-nucleotide ribosomal RNA is filed under the name uncultured bacterium. RNAcentral's name for it is "partial 16S ribosomal RNA". It matches the Rfam family "Bacterial small subunit ribosomal RNA", at positions 524 to 776 of the family's 1533-position model. The record is from RNAcentral.